RNAcentral lists this ribosomal RNA (426 nucleotides) under uncultured Actinomycetes bacterium. RNAcentral's name for it is "bacterial SSU rRNA". It matches the Rfam family "Bacterial small subunit ribosomal RNA", at positions 958 to 1385 of the family's 1533-position model. Lineage: Bacteria; Bacillati; Actinomycetota; Actinomycetes. The record is from RNAcentral.
AACGCGAAGAACCUUACCUGGGCUUGACAUGUGGGUGACCGGUGUGGAAACACACCUUCCCUUCGGGGCACCUUCACAGGUGGUGCAUGGCUGUCGUCAGCUCGUGUCGUGAGAUGUUGGGUUAAGUCCCGCAACGAGCGCAACCCCCGUCGCAUGUUGCCAGCAUUUAGUUGGGGACUCAUGCGAGACUGCCGGUGACAAACCGGAGGAAGGUGGGGAUGACGUCAAGUCCUCAUGCCCCUUAUGUUCAGGGCUACACACGUGCUACAUUGGCGCAUACAGAGGGCUGCGAUACCGCGAGGUGGAGCGAAUCCCUUAAAGUGCGUCUCGGUUCGGAUUGCAGGCUGAAAUUCGCCUGCAUGAAGGCGGAGUUGCUAGUAAUCGCGGAUCAGCAUUGCCGCGGUGAAUACGUUCCCGGGCCUUGUA